UACGGGGGGGGUAAGCGUUGUUCGGAAUUACUGGGCGUAAAGGGCUCGUAGGCGGCCAACUAAGUCAUACGUGAAAUCCCUCAGCUUAACUGGGGAACUGCGUGUGAUACUGGAUGGCUUGGAUUUGGGAGAGGGAUGCGGAAUUCCAGGUGUAGCGGUGAAAUGCGUAGAUAUCUGGAGGAACACCGGUGGCGAAGGCGGCAUCCUGGACCGAGAUUGACGCUGAGGCGCGAAAGCCAGGGGAGCAAACGGG
This 253-nucleotide ribosomal RNA is filed under the name uncultured bacterium. Its description in RNAcentral is "partial 16S ribosomal RNA". It matches the Rfam family "Bacterial small subunit ribosomal RNA", at positions 524 to 776 of the family's 1533-position model. The record is from RNAcentral.